RNAcentral lists this ribosomal RNA (465 nucleotides) under Triticum aestivum (bread wheat). RNAcentral describes it as "partial small subunit ribosomal RNA". The record is from RNAcentral. Lineage: Eukaryota; Viridiplantae; Streptophyta; Magnoliopsida; Poales; Poaceae.
AUGAGUCAUCAUGAUGGCAUCAACACCCCCGAUGACAAUUUCUACCUUGGAUAUGCUGGCUAUGCAUGUCAACCAGGUGUUCUUCCACCCUUCAGGGAAAACAGGCACCAUCUGAACGAGUUUGAUGGUAGGAAUUAUCCUAGGACUCCUCAACUAUUCAAUCUCAGACACUCUAGCUUAAGAGUGACUGUCGAGAGGACCUUUGGAGCUCUAAAUAACAGGUUUAAGAUCCUGGAUCAGAAGCCAUUCCACCCUUACCCUACCCACGUGAAGCUUGUUCUUGCAUGUUGCAUCAUUCAUAACUGGAUCCUGCAAUGGGGGGUCGAUGAAUUUGUGCUGGAGGAGGAAGAUGUCACUCCUGAUGAGGUGAUCAGCUCCAGCCAUGGUGUGAAGGCUUUCGACAACGAAGCAUGGAAGAACAAAAGGUUGGAGUGGGCUCAUGCAAUGUGGGAUAAAAUAGGUUAG